GGUUAAGCGACUAAGCGUACACGGUGGAUGCCCGGGCAGUCAGAGGCGAUGAAGGACGUGCUAAUCUGCGAUAAGCGUCGGUGAGGUGAUAUGAACCGUUAUAACCGG
This 108-nucleotide ribosomal RNA is filed under the name Escherichia coli. RNAcentral describes it as "partial 23S ribosomal RNA". It matches the Rfam family "Bacterial large subunit ribosomal RNA", at positions 1 to 107 of the family's 2925-position model. Lineage: Bacteria; Pseudomonadati; Pseudomonadota; Gammaproteobacteria; Enterobacterales; Enterobacteriaceae. The record is from RNAcentral.